GUAAUCUUAAAGAGUAAACACUUGACUAUAACUCCAAAAAUGUGGUAUAUGCCUUCAUUAACCUAUGCAAAUCCUGCUGUGCCUUCAUGCACUUCACAAACAUUUGUUAGUUCUUAAUGUGUGUAGGUCAUUGUUCUAAGCUCUAUGUGAGUAUGUGUAGUGGAGUGGUGGGUGGGUACAAAACCUUUUCACCUCCAAGUCCUUUUAAUUUAAUCUAGGAUUGACUUUUAUACUCCAGUAACUAUAAUGUGGACAGUGCACAUCAUCUUCUGAACUAAAAGUCAGGAUGGUCUAAUUAUAAGCAAUUUAAUUUUCCUAAUCUGUUUCCCCAUCUACAAAAUUAUAACAAAAAUAACACUUACUACUUAGAAUGGUUUUGAGUAUUAAAUAAUACAAUCCAAACAAAGCACUUAGCUCAGUAUCUAUUAUUAAAAAACAUACUCAGUGGUAUUAGCUACUAUUAUCUUGAUAGGCAGUGUGCCAAUUUCAAUCAUUUCAAUGAUUUUAAAAUCUAUUAUCUGUGGAGUCUUCUAUGCAAAUAUUUUCUUCUUCCUAAAUUCUUGUUAUUCUUCUAUGAUAAAAUGGACUUCUCAUCACCUCUAUUCCAGUGCAUCUUCACCUCUGCCCAGGAGGGAUUUUUCUAGCAGAAUAACACUACAUGUCAUACAUGAGGAUUCUGACUUUUAUUCUUAGGUAAGAACACAAAGAACAAAGACAAGUAGCAGCAAAAAGGGCCUGUCUUCUAAUCCGGCUGCGUCCGGGCCUCAAGAAGGACACUUGUGCAGGACACACACCACUCAAUCCUCAGAGACGCUCAGAACCUCACUUGGGCCUGAAGUGCAUCUGAUUGGUGGCAUUGUUCUUCAUUUCCGUCUUCAGCAUCCACUUCGAUUUCAUCCUCUGGACAUACUGAUGUCCCGCUCACGCAGAAGAGCUGCUCCUGUGCUGCCGGUCCAUCCCAGGGCUCUGUACUGCUGCAGUAUCCGGCCCACAGGCUUUUACCAAGAAAAAAGCCUGGUGUCUUGGGAUGUCAGAACCUAGAUCACUGUAGGAUAACCUAACCAUGAAGACAUUGAGAAAGUAGUACCUGUACCAAACAUUGCCAUAACUCACAUGUGGAUAUUUUGGUUCAGGAAGUAUACUGGGGUGACCCUUCACUUUCAAUGUCUUAUGACAACAGAAGAACACAAUAUUUAAAACUGAGACUCGGGUAGCCUGGGUGGCUCAGUGGUUUGGUGCAGCCUUAGGCUCAAGGUGUGAUCCUGGAGACCUGGGAUCGAGUCCCAUGUAGGGCUCCCUGCAUGGAGCCUGCUUCUCCCUCUGCCCAUGUCUCUGCCUCUCUUCUCUCUGUGUCUCUCAUGAAUAAAUAAAUAAAAUCUUAAAAAAAAAUAAAGCUG
Molecule: long non-coding RNA, 1397 nt
Filed under: Canis lupus dingo (dingo)
Lineage: Eukaryota; Metazoa; Chordata; Mammalia; Carnivora; Canidae
Description: lncRNA (ENSCAFG00020025055.1)
Source: RNAcentral